UGGGGAAUAUUGGACAAUGGGGGCAACCCUGAUCCAGCGAUGCCGCGUGUGCGAAGAAGGCCUGCGGGUUGUAAAGCACUUUAAGUUGGGAGGAAGGGCAGUUACCUAAUACGUGAUUGUUUUGACGUUACCGACAGAAUAAGCACCGGCUAACUCUGUGCCAGCAGCCGCGGUAAUACAGAGGGUGCAAGCGUUAAUCGGAAUUACUGGGCGUAAAGCGCGCGUAGGUGGUUAGUUAAGUUGGAUGUGAAAUCCCCGGGCUCAACCUGGGAACUGCAUUCAAAACUGACUGACUAGAGUAUGGUAGAGGGUGGUGGAAUUUCCUGUGUAGCGGUGAAAUGCGUAGAUAUAGGAAGGAACACCAGUGGCGAAGGCGACCACCUGGACUGAUACUGACACUGAGGUGCGAAAGCGUGGGGAGCAAACAGGAUUAGAUACCCUUGUAGUCCCUGAGCGGGCUGGCAAGGCGCAU
This 472-nucleotide ribosomal RNA is filed under the name uncultured bacterium. RNAcentral describes it as "bacterial SSU rRNA". It matches the Rfam family "Bacterial small subunit ribosomal RNA", at positions 355 to 825 of the family's 1533-position model. The record is from RNAcentral.